UUUCACUCCUCCGAACUUUUUUUUUCUUUUAAUUAAACAUUUUGAAAAAAUGUACAAGAUCACGUGGCAUGUAGAUACAUGAAGAAAUUAAGUCUUACAGGUUUACACUCCUCCGAACUUGUAAAACCAUUUGGAGAUUUCCUGAAAAUAAGGUGCAAGAAAUGGCGUCUCAGCAGAGCCUGAUGAGAAUCUGAUACUGAUCUGUAUCGUUAAACUGUGAAAACUGGUCAGAGGUUGUGAAAUGUAAAUUCUGCAUAACUUUGGACAGGGAGGAGAACAACGAGGGAGGGAAGGAGGAAAUUAAUGGGGAGGCCAGACAUUUAUGUGGCACCCUGAGCUCAUCUGAGGAAUGGAAAGAACGAAGAGUCUCCACCCACCAGUCGUCCUUCCAUCUCGUCCUUCAUCACAGAGUUUCACAAGAAACUGAGCUUCUAAAGCCAGAACUGAUGUUUGGAGGCUUAGAGACAACAUUUGAGCUUAAAAUGAGUUUUUAACAGCUUUUACUGAACUAGUUAUUUCACUAGAAACUGAGAAUUAAAGGGAUGAAAAUGAUUAAUAAUCUUAAACUACUCUAGCAUUGAGCUGAAAAGAAUAGCCAUAAAAUUCCACGUUGUUUCUCAGAUAGGUGAGUUUUAAAAAUAUUAUUUAAUUUCAACUAUAUAUAUAUUCUAUUAAUGUUUUUUUUCUGGUUAUGCAGCCAUGCUGUUUUUGAAAGCAUCAGCGCUUUCUGUUAGCCAUUUCCCCAAUUAGUAAAAGGUAUGCUGCCAAACAGACGCACAAACAUAUUUUUAUUUUUAAAGUACUUAUUUUUGUGUCUGAAAAAUGAAAGUUGAAAAUCUUUGAACUUUUACUCACUGACACAAGCAGUGGUCUUGGUUAUUAAAAUGGAGAGGAAGCCGUUACGGCUGCACCUAUAAUAAUAAAAUGAAAAAACACUCAGAUUCCCUGAGUUUCUGUUCGGUGUGGAAAUAUAAAGUUAAAAAGUCAUAUUUACAUAAAACCUUCCAUUUAGUUGCUGCAGAUUAUUUUUACACUGUAU
Molecule: long non-coding RNA, 1039 nt
Organism: Gambusia affinis (western mosquitofish)
Lineage: Eukaryota; Metazoa; Chordata; Actinopteri; Cyprinodontiformes; Poeciliidae
Exons: 3
Source: RefSeq, a predicted model, not a curated record